GACGAACGCUGGCGGCGUGCCUAAUACAUGCAAGUCGAACGCUGAAGGAGGAGCUUGCUUCUCUGGAUGAGUUGCGAACGGGUGAGUAACGCGUAGGUAACCUGCCUGGUAGCGGGGGAUAACUAUUGGAAACGAUAGCUAAUACCGCAUAAGAGUAGAUGUUGCAUGACAUUUGCUUAAAAGGUGCAAUUGCAUCACUACCAGAUGGACCUGCGUUGUAUUAGCUAGUUGGUGGGGUAACGGCUUACCAAGGCGACGAUACAUAGCCGACCUGAGAGGGUGAUCGGCCACACUGGGACUGAGACACGGCCCAGACUCCUACGGGAGGCAGCAGUAGGGAAUCUUCGGCAAUGGACGGAAGUCUGACCGAGCAACGCCGCGUGAGUGAAGAAGGGUUUCGGAUCGUAAAGCUCUGUUGUAAGAGAAGAACGAGUGUGAGAGUGGAAAGUUCACACUGUGACGGUAGCUUACCAGAAAGGGACGGCUAACUACGUG
Molecule: ribosomal RNA, 495 nt
Filed under: uncultured bacterium
Lineage: Bacteria
Description: partial 16S ribosomal RNA
Rfam family: Bacterial small subunit ribosomal RNA
Source: RNAcentral